Molecule: ribosomal RNA, 466 nt
Filed under: uncultured bacterium
Lineage: Bacteria
Description: partial 16S ribosomal RNA
Rfam family: Bacterial small subunit ribosomal RNA
Source: RNAcentral
GAUGAACGCUGGCGGCGUGCUUAACACAUGCAAGUCGAACGAUGAAGCCCAGCUUGCUGGGUGGAUUAGUGGCGAACGGGUGAGUAACACGUGAGUAACCUGCCCUUAACUCUGGGAUAAGCCUGGGAAACUGGGUCUAAUACCGGAUAGGAGCGUCCACCGCAUGGUGGGUGUUGGAAAGAUUUAUCGGUUUUGGAUGGACUCGCGGCCUAUCAGCUUGUUGGUGAGGUAAUGGCUCACCAAGGCGACGACGGGUAGCCGGCCUGAGAGGGUGACCGGACACACUGGGACUGAGACACGGCCCAGACUCCUACGGGAGGCAGCAGUGGGGAAUAUUGCACAAUGGGCGCAAGCCUGAUGCAGCGACGCCGCGUGAGGGAUGACGGCCUUCGGGUUGUAAACCUCUUUCAGUAGGGAAGAAGCGAAAGUGACGGUACCUGCAGAAGAAGCACCGGCUAACUACGUG